This is a long non-coding RNA of Mustela lutreola (European mink), 1649 nucleotides long. RefSeq lists it as uncharacterized. The record is from RefSeq and is a predicted model, not a curated record. The transcript is spliced from 3 exons. NCBI's taxonomy places the organism in Eukaryota, Metazoa, Chordata, Mammalia, Carnivora, Mustelidae.
GCCCGGGUCCUGAGCGGGCGCGUUUGUGGGCCACCCGGCCGCCGUCCACGCAGGGGCGCCCCCGAGCACGCGCUGGAGGGGAGCGGAACCAGGUCGGUCCUGGCCCACAGGCAUUACAGACAGAGAUCCAGGAGAGCUGAUUCUGUAUCUUCCGAGACUCAGCUAUGCAAAACAAGGAGCCCAGCUGGAAAUGCAGAUAUCUAAACUGAGAGAUAUAAAGUGUUAAGAUGUCAUCAUGAAUUACUUUUUCUGUAGUGAGAUAUAGGAAGGCCCCUGAAGGAAUGGGAUCUGGAUGGGCAUCGAUGGGAAAGUAGGUUUAGGUAGAAGCAGGUGUGGAGAUCAAAAAAAAGAAAAAAGAAAAAAAGAAAGCAGAUGUGAUUAUAACUCUAACACUGUGGCUUCUAGUCAGACAUGGUAUUACAUAUCUUCACGAAGGUGGCUUCACGUGUCAGCGAGGGUUAAAAAUGGGAGCUCUCUUGGGGAUGGAGGGGAGCAACCAACAGAAUUGCUAAAUGGCCGUACAGCCCAGAAAUUUGCUUGUUAUCAUAAUGAGUUAUUUUGAAAAAUCUAGGACAUCCUUCACAUGAUCAUCUCAAAGAUAAUUUAAAAAGCAAGACAUACUCUAGGGCACAAAAAAGCAAAAUUCAAAAUAUUUUAGAAAGCUAAAUUAUUUCCAGUAGGGUUUAUAAAUACUGUACAUGAAAUGUGAGGCUAGGACUCUGAUCACAAAAACCUUAUACCAAUGCAUUCUUGUAUCCCAACUUAAUCUGUCAUGAUUGGCAGUUUUCUAAAAUAGAUCAUGAGUCUUUGUGCAACAGGGUGAUGUUAGAGGCAAGAGAGAACAUCCCGUUUGGUUUUAUUUCACGGAGUAGAGCUAUGUGACUCUGCUAUUUCGGAAGAGUGGCCAUCUUCUGCAUGCUUUGUUGCAGACAGCCUUUCUGGCUGCAGUAAUUUAGGGGCAUGUGAGAGCUGAGUUUGAAAGUACACUAAAACACCAUCAGGCAAGCGCUGAGUAUGACGUCUUCUGAGGCUGGUCUCAUUUUGUAGGUUGUGUGCAAGGUGCAUUUCAAUUGAUUGACUGGAUCUACCUGCCAACAUGUCUAUGAGAUAGGACUGAGCCAGAAAUAUUUGAAUCAACUUAACAUUUGUUUAGGCAAAUCGAUUUAAAGAUAAUUGGCCGGUUCAAAUCUAUGACUUGAUUGGACUGGACUGCUGAGAGAGGCUGAGUUGGUCCACAGCUCAGGCUGGGUCUUCUGGUUUACCUCAGGUGGCUCAUUAGCAGGGCUAGAGCACACCCCUUUCAACAUCAUCUUUCUGUGUGUGUUUGGAGAGGCUGGGACCUGAACAGAUGGCCUCGAUGUGGGCUCCCAUGACUACCAGGCAUGCCAAGCAGGCAGAUGAGUGAUCUGGCUUGUUCCUUCUCUUUUAAAUUGCUGUCAGCCAGGGAAAAGUGGUGAAAAUAAAUCAAUGGCUCCCUCCUCCAGACCCAGCAUGUACCUUUCAGUCAUCAAAAUAAGAAACAUCCUGUGGUGGCUGUUGGGUGAUUUCUCUGAUAGGAAGAGCCCUUCACAUACUGGAUAUUAACAUAACAAAUGGCCAAAUUGUAUCUCAGAAAGGACAUUUUUUUUGUCAGGGACCAAAUGUUGGCA